GGCGAAGGGAUAAGGUUUGUCCUAAUCUCUCUCUUCCCCGUACGGUUAACAUCCAGUGAGGAUUUUCUCCACAGAAAGAGAAAUAUCGCCACAUCCAUUUGCAUCAGGAGAGAGUGGACGCGCCGGUCGUUGGUUGCCUCUGCCACCGUCGGGGAGUGCAUCUACACCUGGAGUGACAGGGUCAAGCGUUGGCCGCAGGCCACCGCCUGUGGCUGUGCGGCCGCAUCGUCGAUCUUGCCGCGAGGAUAGUCGCCCCGCCUUAGGACGGGCUGCCUCGUCUGGAGCGCGUCGCCGCUGCCACCGCCGCAAGACAGAAAACACUACUGUUGCAGCGCCGUUGCUCGUGUGGGCGCCUACCGCUAUUGCCGGAGCGUCUAAUUAGACUGAAGGGCGUCGCACCAGAUCCGUUGCUGUGCCGAGAGGAGCCAGGCCGAGGGGAGCGUCGCUGCGCCGUUGCGCGCCACUGCCUCCUGUCCCGCAGUGGGGUGCAACGAUGAGACUCCGUGCGUGCCGGAGGAUGUCGCUGCGGAGGGUCGGCCAUGGCCAUAUCCUCGGCGCCGUCGAUCUGCGCGGAUGUGAUCCUUUUCUUGUUCUGCUCUUUUUGUUUGUAGUUCACGAUUGAUCAAUUCUUCGUCAGAUUCGUGUGAGCGCAUAUACAUACAGGAGAAAAACAAUUCAUUGUUAGAUUAGUAAUUGAUUGCAAGAAGACAAGAUCAGUCAAUC
RNAcentral lists this ribosomal RNA (723 nucleotides) under Triticum aestivum (bread wheat). RNAcentral describes it as "partial small subunit ribosomal RNA". Lineage: Eukaryota; Viridiplantae; Streptophyta; Magnoliopsida; Poales; Poaceae. The record is from RNAcentral.